CCCUUAGAUGUUCUGGGCUGCACGCGUGCUACACUGAUAUUGCCAAUAUGUCAUUCUUAUCCGAAAUGGAUUGGGUAAUCAAGUAAUGAAAUUUCAUGCUUGGAAUCGGUAAUUGCGAUUUUAUCGUGAACGAGGAAUUCCUAGUAAGCACUAGUCAUCAGCUAAUGUUGAUUAUGUCCCUGCCCUUUGUACACACCGCCCGUCGUUACUACUGAUUGGGUGUUCAAGUGAGAUGCUUAGACCCUUGUUGCAUGGUUCAUUAUUGUGCUCCGAAAGGAAAAAGUUUCAAGCUUGAGUGUCUAGAGGAAGUAAAAGUCGUAACA
This 323-nucleotide ribosomal RNA is filed under the name uncultured eukaryote. RNAcentral's name for it is "partial 18S ribosomal RNA". It matches the Rfam family "Eukaryotic small subunit ribosomal RNA", at positions 1470 to 1796 of the family's 1831-position model. The record is from RNAcentral.